UUGAAUAAAAAAAAUAAAAUUGGAGCUGCCUUUACUGAUGAUGGCUUUGCCAUGGGUGUGGCUUACAUUCUAAAGCUUUUGGAUCAGUACCGAGAGUUUGACUCACUUCACUGGUUCCAGUCUGUUAGAGAGAAAUACCUGAAGGAGAUAAGAGCAGUUGCUAAGCAACAGAAUGUGCAGUCGGCCAGUCAAGAUGAAAAACUCUUACAAACCAUGAAUCUCACUCAGAAGCGACUAGAUGUCUAUCUACAGGUAGAGGAGCCUAAGAGUCACAUCUGCUUUGACUUACCAUUUGAUAUUCAUGACUUCUUAAUGUCUGAAAAGCAGAAGCCAUAUAGAAACUCCCAUUUUCACAAGUGAGAUGAAUAGUGGCAAAAAGACUAUAUUUUAAAAUGAGUGCUAUUUGGAAGCCAUUUGACUCAGAUCUUAAAAAUGGGCGGGUUACUUAUUUCAGUUUCUGUAUUUAUGAUUUCCACUAGAGCUUUUAAAAACAAUAAUAGGCAUAAAAAUGCAUAUAUUUUUGGUAUUUUGCCAUAAUAAGUAUUUUUGGUUUUUAUUUCAAAUUUUUAAAUU
This 573-nucleotide small RNA is filed under the name Pongo abelii (Sumatran orangutan). RNAcentral's name for it is "retained intron". The record is from RNAcentral. Lineage: Eukaryota; Metazoa; Chordata; Mammalia; Primates; Hominidae.